Molecule: ribosomal RNA, 465 nt
Filed under: uncultured bacterium
Lineage: Bacteria
Description: partial 16S ribosomal RNA
Rfam family: Bacterial small subunit ribosomal RNA
Source: RNAcentral
CUACGGGUUGCUGCAGUGGGGAAUAUUGGACAAUGGGGGAAACCCUGAUCCAGCAAUGCCGCGUGUGUGAAGAAGGCCUGCGGGUUGUAAAGCACUUUCGGUUGGGAGGACUGCUUCUAGCACUAAUAUUGUUGGAAGUUGACGUUACCUUCAGAAGAAGCACCGGCUAACUCCGUGCCAGCAGCCGCGGUAAUACGGAGGGUGCAUGCGUUAAUCGGAAUUACUGGGCGUAAAGCGCGCGUAGGCGGCUAGAUCAGUCGGGUGUGAAAGCCCCGGGCUUAACCUGGGAACUGCAUCCGAUACUGUCUAGCUUGAGUACAGGAGAGGAGAGUGGAAUUCCACAUGUAGCGGUGAAAUGCGUAGAUAUGUGGAGGAACACCAAUGGCGAAGGCAGCUCUCUGGCCUGAUACUGACGCUGAGGUGCGAAAGCGUGGGGAGCAAACAGGAUUAGAUACCCUUGUAGUC